UACAGAGGGGGCAAGCGUUGUUCGGAAUUACUGGGCGUAAAGGGCGCGUAGGCGGCCUUCUAAGUCGGACGUGAAAUCCCCGGGCUCAACCCGGGAACUGCGUCCGAUACUGGGAGGCUCGAAUCCGGGAGAGGGAUGUGGAAUUCCAGGUGUAGCGGUGAAAUGCGUAGAUAUCUGGAGGAACACCGGUGGCGAAGGCGGCAUCCUGGACCGGUAUUGACGCUGAGGCGCGAAAGCCAGGGGAGCAAACGGG
Molecule: ribosomal RNA, 253 nt
Filed under: uncultured bacterium
Lineage: Bacteria
Description: partial 16S ribosomal RNA
Rfam family: Bacterial small subunit ribosomal RNA
Source: RNAcentral